Molecule: ribosomal RNA, 445 nt
Filed under: uncultured Intrasporangiaceae bacterium
Lineage: Bacteria; Bacillati; Actinomycetota; Actinomycetes; Micrococcales; Intrasporangiaceae
Description: bacterial SSU rRNA
Rfam family: Bacterial small subunit ribosomal RNA
Source: RNAcentral
CCUACGGGAGGCUGCAGUGGGGAAUAUUGCACAAUGGGCGAAAGCCUGAUGCAGCGACGCCGCGUGAGGGAUGACGGCCUUCGGGUUGUAAACCUCUUUCAGCAGGGAAGAAGCGAAAGUGACGGUACCUGCAGAAGAAGCACCGGCUAACUACGUGCCAGCAGCCGCGGUAAUACGUAGGGUGCGAGCGUUGUCCGGAAUUAUUGGGCGUAAAGAGCUUGUAGGCGGUUUGUCGCGUCUGCAGUGAAAAUCCGAGGCUCAACCUCGGACUUGCUGUGGGUACGGGCAGACUAGAGUAUGGUAGGGGAGACCGGAAUUCCUGGUGUAGCGGUGGAAUGCGCAGAUAUCAGGAGGAACACCGAUGGCGAAGGCAGGUCUCUGGGCCAUAACUGACGCUGAGAAGCGAAAGCAUGGGGAGCGAACAGGAUUAGAUACCCUAGUAGUC